AUGAGUAAAGCGGCGAACGGGUGAGUAACGCGCGGGAAUCUGCCCAGUAGUGGGGGACAACAGCCGGAAACGGCUGCUAAUACCGCAUACGCCCUACGGGGGAAAGGGGGGGAUCUUCGGACCUCUCGCUAUUGGAUGAGCCCGCGUCGGAUUAGCUAGUUGGUAGGGUAAAGGCCUACCAAGGCUACGAUCCGUAACUGGUCUGAGAGGAUGAUCAGUCACACUGGAACUGAGACACGGCCCAGACUCCUACGGGAGGCAGCAGUGGGGAAUAUUGGACAAUGGGGGCAACCCUGAUCCAGCCAUGCCGCGUGUGUGAAGAAGGCCCUUGGGUUGUAAAGCACUUUCAGUGGGGAGAAAAGUCUGUUACUUAAUACGUGAUGGAAUUGAUGUUACCCACAGAAGAAGCACCGGCUAACUCCGUGCCAGCAGCCGCGGUAAUACGGAGGGUGCAAGCGUUAAUCGGAAUUACUGGGCGUAAAGCGCACGUAGGUGGUUUGUUAAGUCAGCUGUGAAAUCCCCGGGCUCAACCUGGGC
This 537-nucleotide ribosomal RNA is filed under the name uncultured Cellvibrio sp. Its description in RNAcentral is "bacterial SSU rRNA". It matches the Rfam family "Bacterial small subunit ribosomal RNA", at positions 86 to 619 of the family's 1533-position model. The record is from RNAcentral. Lineage: Bacteria; Pseudomonadati; Pseudomonadota; Gammaproteobacteria; Cellvibrionales; Cellvibrionaceae.